Molecule: ribosomal RNA, 253 nt
Filed under: uncultured bacterium
Lineage: Bacteria
Description: partial 16S ribosomal RNA
Rfam family: Bacterial small subunit ribosomal RNA
Source: RNAcentral
UACGUAGGGUGCGAGCGUUGUCCGGAAUUAUUGGGCGUAAAGAGCUCGUAGGCGGCUUGUCGCGUCGGAUGUGAAAGCCCGGGGCUUAACUCCGGGUCUGCAUUCGAUACGGGCAGGCUAGAGUUCGGUAGGGGAGAUCGGAAUUCCUGGUGUAGCGGUGAAAUGCGCAGGUAUCAGGAGGAACACCGGUGGCGAAGGCGGAUCUCUGGGCCGAUACUGACGCUGAGGAGCGAAAGCGUGGGGAGCGAACAGG